AGGACACUCUAUACGGAGUUACAAAGGACGACAUUAGACGAAUCAUCUGGAAAGAUGAAUCAAAGAAGGUAAUAAUCCUGUAGUCGAAAAUGUUGUCUCUCUUGAGUGGAUCCUGAGUACGACGGAGCACGUGAAAUUCCGUCGGAAUCUGGGAGGACCAUCUCCUAAGGCUAAAUACUCUCUAGUGACCGAUAGUGAACCAGUACCGUGAGGGAAAGGUGAAAAGCACCCCGGAAGGGGAGUGAAAUAGAACCUGAAACCGUGUGCUUACAAGUAGUCAGAGCCCGUUAAUGGGUGAUGGCGUGCCUUUUGUAGAAUGAACCGGCGAGUUACGAUUUGAUGCAAGGUUAAGCAGUAAAUGUGGAGCCGUAGCGAAAGCGAGUCUGAAUAGGGCGUUUAGUAUUUGGUCGUAGACCCGAAACCAGGUGAUCUACCCUUGGUCAGGUUGAAGUUCAGGUAACACUGAAUGGAGGACCGAACCGACUUACGUUGAAAAGUGAGCGGAUGAACUGAGGGUAGCGGAGAAAUUCCAAUCGAACCUGGAGAUAGCUGGUUCUCUCCGAAAUAGCUUUAGGGCUAGCCUCAAGUGAUGAUUAUUGGAGGUAGAGCACUGUUUGGACGAGGGGCCCCUCUCGGGUUACCGAAUUCAGACAAACUCCGAAUGCCAAUUAAUUUAACUUGGGAGUCAGAACAUGGGUGAUAAGGUCCGUGUUCGAAAGGGAAACAGCCCAGACCACCAGCUAAGGUCCCAAAAUAUAUGUUAAGUGGAAAAGGAUGUGGCGUUGCCCAGACAACUAGGAUGUUGGCUUAGAAGCAGCCAUCAUUUAAAGAGUGCGUAAUAGCUCACUAGUCGAGUGACACUGCGCCGAAAAUGUACCGGGGCUAAACAUAUUACCGAAGCUGUGGAUUGUCCUUUGGACAAUGGUAGGAGAGCGUUCUAAGGGCGUUGAAGCAUGAUCGUAAGGACAUGUGGAGCGCUUAGAAGUGAGAAUGCCGGUGUGAGUAGCGAAAGACGGGUGAGAAUCCCGUCCACCGAUUGACUAAGGUUUCCAGAGGAAGGCUCGUCCGCUCUGGGUUAGUCGGGUCCUAAGCUGAGGCCGACAGGCGUAGGCGAUGGAUAACAGGUUGAUAUUCCUGUACCACCUAUAAUCGUUUUAAUCGAUGGGGGGAC
This 1171-nucleotide ribosomal RNA is filed under the name Staphylococcus aureus. RNAcentral's name for it is "partial 23S ribosomal RNA". It matches the Rfam family "Bacterial large subunit ribosomal RNA", at positions 296 to 1473 of the family's 2925-position model. The record is from RNAcentral. Lineage: Bacteria; Bacillati; Bacillota; Bacilli; Caryophanales; Staphylococcaceae.